Molecule: unclassified non-coding RNA, 253 nt
Filed under: Hevea brasiliensis (rubber tree)
Lineage: Eukaryota; Viridiplantae; Streptophyta; Magnoliopsida; Malpighiales; Euphorbiaceae
Source: RNAcentral
CAUAGUGGGGAUGGGCGGUUUGGGAAAGACAGCCUUAGCUAAACUGGUGUGUCAUAAAGCCAUAGAAAGAAAUCUUUUUGACGACAAAAUAUGGGUUUGCGUUUCUGAUAACUUUAAUGAACAAAAAAUUUUGGGAGAAAUGUUGCAAACUUUCAAUGUAAAUGCGGGUGGAGUGACCAACAUGGAUGCAAUACUUAAAGAGCUUGAAAAGCAGUUGGAGGGGAGAAAGUUUCUACUUGUUCUUGAUGACGUG